RNAcentral lists this ribosomal RNA (241 nucleotides) under uncultured bacterium. RNAcentral's name for it is "partial 16S ribosomal RNA". It matches the Rfam family "Bacterial small subunit ribosomal RNA", at positions 15 to 248 of the family's 1533-position model. The record is from RNAcentral.
GAUCAUGCUCAGGAUGAACGCUAGCUACAGGCUUAACACAUGCAAGUCGAGGGGCAGCGGGAUUGAAGCUUGCUUCAAUUGCCGGCGACCGGCGCACGGGUGAGUAACGCGUAUCCAACCUUCCGUACACUCAGGGAUAGCCUUUCGAAAGAAAGAUUAAUACCUGAUGGUAUCUUAAGCACACAUGUAAUUAAGAUUAAAGAUUUAUCGGUGUACGAUGGGGAUGCGUUCCAUUAGGUAG